This is a non-coding RNA of Oryza nivara, 204 nucleotides long. The record is from Rfam. NCBI's taxonomy places the organism in Eukaryota, Viridiplantae, Streptophyta, Magnoliopsida, Poales, Poaceae.
UAAAAAAAAAACUCUGAGGUUUCGUGUCAACGUUUGACUGUCUGUUUUAUAUGAAAUUUUUCUAUAAUUAGUAUUUUCAUUGUUGUUAGAUAAUAAAACAUGAUUAAUAAUUUAUGCAUGACUUAUCUUUUUAAUUUUUUCAUAAUUUUUUUAAAUAAGACGGACAGUCAAACGUUGGACACGAAAAUCAGGGUUUGUCUUUUU